ACGCUGGCGGCGCGCCUAACACAUGCAAGUCGAACGGAGUUUUCUGAAUUGAUUCUUCGGGAUGAUUUUUGGAAAACUUAGUGGCGAAACGGGUGAGUAACGCGUGAGUAACCUGCCCUGGAGUGGGGGACAACAGUUGGAAACGACUGCUAAUACCGCAUAAGCCCACAGUACCGCAUGGUACCAGAGGGAAAAGGAGCAAUUCGCUUAUAGAUGGGCUUACGGUGUAUUAGCUAGUUGGUGAGGUAACUGCUCACCAAGGCGAUGAUACAUAGCCGGCCUGAGAGGGUUGAACGGCCACAUUGGGACUGAGACACGGCCCAGACUCCUACGGGAGGCAGCAGUAAGGAAUUUUCGGCAAUGGGGGAAACCCUGACCGAGCAACGCCGCGUGAGUGAUGAAGGCCUUUGGGUUGUAAAGCUCUGUUGUAAAGGAAGAACGUGCAGAUGAGGAAAUGCUUCUGUAUUGACGGUACUUUACCAGAAAGUCACGGCUUACUACGUG
RNAcentral lists this ribosomal RNA (504 nucleotides) under uncultured bacterium. RNAcentral describes it as "bacterial SSU rRNA". It matches the Rfam family "Bacterial small subunit ribosomal RNA", at positions 33 to 507 of the family's 1533-position model. The record is from RNAcentral.